RNAcentral lists this ribosomal RNA (765 nucleotides) under uncultured fungus. Its description in RNAcentral is "SSU rRNA". It matches the Rfam family "Eukaryotic small subunit ribosomal RNA", at positions 804 to 1590 of the family's 1831-position model. The record is from RNAcentral. Lineage: Eukaryota; Fungi.
UUAGCAUGGAAUAAUGAAAUAGGACGUGCGGUUCUAUUUUGUUGGUUUCUAGGACCGCCGUAAUGAUUAAUAGGGACAGUCGGGGGCAUCAGUAUUCAAUUGUCAGAGGUGAAAUUCUUGGAUUUAUUGAAGACUAACUACUGCGAAAGCAUUUGCCAAGGAUGUUUUCAUUAAUCAGGAACGAAAGUUAGGGGAUCGAAGACGAUCAGAUACCGUCGUAGUCUUAACCAUAAACUAUGCCGACUAGGGAUCGGACGGUGUUAUUCUUUGACCCGUUCGGCACCUUACGAGAAAUCAAAGUGCUUGGGCUCCAGGGGGAGUAUGGUCGCAAGGCUGAAACUUAAAGGAAUUGACGGAAGGGCACCACCAGGAGUGGAGCCUGCGGCUUAAUUUGACUCAACACGGGGAAACUCACCAGGUCCAGACACAUUAAGGAUUGACAGAUUGAGAGCUCUUUCUUGAUUAUGUGGGUGGUGGUGCAUGGCCGUUCUUAGUUGGUGGAGUGAUUUGUCUGCUUAAUUGCGAUAACGAACGAGACCUUAACCUGCUAAAUAGUCAGGCCCGCUUUGGCGGGUCGCAGGCUUCUUAGAGGGACUAUCGGCUUCAAGCCGAUGGAAGUUUGAGGCAAUAACAGGUCUGUGAUGCCCUUAGAUGUUCUGGGCCGCACGCGCGCUACACUGACAGAGCCAACGAGUAUUUUUCCUUGUCCGGAAGGUCUGGGUAAUCUUGUUAAACUCUGUCGUGCUGGGGAUAGAGCAUUGCAAU